AUUGAACACUUUACAGUAGUGGAAGUUUCAGAGAUAACAAAUGAUCUAAACGCUAGAAUAGAAAGACAGCGUAAUGGAAGAACAACUAUGGGCAGUGUUUCAGGCCUGUAACCCAGACACUGAAGGAUUUAUAAGCAUUCAGGAGUUGGCUAAUAUUAGCAGAUCUCAUGUUGAUUCUGAGGAUGUGGAGAAAAUACUUAGUAUUUUUACAGCAAGUAAUCAGGAUCGGUUGGAUUUCCCGGAGUUUCAGCAUCAAGUUAUCAAUAGUUUGAACCAGGAUUUGAUGACAGCGCACAAUAAUGAGCUGGGAGCUAGAUUACAAAGUCCGAGGAAAAAGAUGAAAAGACGACCUGUAAGACUGGUGUCUCAGAGUAAAUUAACUGGAGCUAUACCAUUGGUCAAUACAUCAAGUGAAGACGACAAUGAUUUAGAGGAUAGUUUUGAUCGUAGAAUAGCAGCAGAACUUGAGUUCGCGGGCAAAACUUUAGAGCGCACUAAACCAAAAUAUUUAGUUCGAGGCUCCCAGAUGAGAAGCACUGUAAGAUCUAAAUCUAAUACCCAGCUGCCAUUUCUGUCUUCUCAUCCAACUCUAGAGAUUUCUCCGAUCAGAUCUGAUGACGGAUCAGCUUCCGGUCAGAAUAUUUAUGAGUCAACUCCUUGUAAAACUGGUUCUGAGCUCCGGGAGCAGGUUCUGGAUCAGCUCCGGAACCCGGAGCAAUUGAAUCUUGAGGAGGAGAGUCGAAUCAGGAGAAGUUCGAGCGAGAAUUCUGUUUUUCAACAAGUAUCUUUAGAUGCUCAUGGGAUGGAUUCUAGAUCGAUUGAGUCUGAUAAAAGAUGGAGAGAAGUUCAAGUUCCAGGAUUAAAUUAUCGACCUAGAUCUCCCAGGUGGAAUGAGGGGGAGGAGAAGGAAGAGAAGGAAACCCAAGAAAUGGAUCAAGAGGAAAAAAUGGAAGCCAAGAAGAAGGAAAAGGAGGAGAAGAUGAAAGUGAAUGGAGCGAAGAAUAUAUUUUUCAGGUUGGCUGAGGAGGAUGAGUUUAACCAAACCAAAAGAUCUGUUCUGGAUGGUUUAGAGAAGCAGGUUAGCAUGAUCCAGCACCAAUAUGAGGAGUUUGGAUUGACUCCAACUAAGGCGAUAGAUUUCAAGACUGAGCUUGAAACUGAAUUGGAGAAAGUAAGAAUAGAAGCAAGAGAGAAACUGGAGGAAGAAAGAGAGAGAUGGGAAGAGGAGAAAGCGAAAUGGGAAGAGGAGAGAGAGAAAUGGGAAGAGGAGAGAGAGAGAUGGGAGGAAGAAUUUCAAGGAUUAGAGAGAGAAAGAGAAAUGGAUAAACUAAAUUAUGAACUCAGACUGGAUCAGGUGCGUGGAGAGGUGGAUAGACUGCGACGGGAGAAAUCUGAACUAGUGGAAAAGGUUCGAUUACUGUACGAAGAAAAGGAAUUGAUUGAAGAUACAAACAAACAUGGAAAUAAUACCAACUUUUUCUCGAUGGAGGACUCCCAGGAAGAAAUGUCUAAAAUGUCGUUGGAUUCAGACAAAACAGACAGAACUGAGAAUAGUCGAACUGAGAGCUAUGAUCUGGAGUAUAUGAACAAGAUCCAACAGUUGACAAGAAGGCUAGAACAGCAUGAUAAUGAGUUAAUUGAGCUUAAGGAGGAUAAUACAGUUCUCCGUAAACAGAAGCAGAAAUUAAUGGAGAUGAUGAAAGGAGAAUCAAAUAGGAAACGUUCAUUUCUAGGUCUCAGCCAUUCCCGAUCUUUCAAUGGUUUAGAUAAUAUGGACGUAGACGAUCCUUCAGAUAUCAGGAUUAGAUGUUCAGAACUGUGCAGGCAGGUACAGGACCAAGCUGAUAAUAACAAACAGCUAAAGGAGUACAUUCACGAUUUACUGGAUAAUGUUAUGAAGAAUAACCCGGGCUUGCUGGAAAAAAGUUAAGUCCGCUCACGAUAAAGAAAACUAAAAAUCUCUCUUAAAAUUAGGCUGUCAUUUUCCUCAUAAAAAUCAAUUUUCUUUUCCGUCGCUAAAAUUUCUGAAUAAAAGUACAAAAUCUAAAAAAUGGUAAAAUCUCUUACUGUAUGUGCAAUGUACAACCUUUCUUCGUGCAGAUUUUAACUAGAACGUUUUUACGUUGUACCUGACCAGACUUUGUGAUAUAUGGGUAUUAAAACUAAAUUGUAAAAAUUAUAUAUGCCUAGCAUUUUUAUAUAAUAAACUGAUUUUAUAAUAAAC
RNA transcript from Eurytemora carolleeae, 2224 nucleotides. It is a transcript of the gene named golgin subfamily A member 6-like protein 2, with no coding region annotated. The record is from RefSeq and is a predicted model, not a curated record. The transcript is spliced from 21 exons. NCBI's taxonomy places the organism in Eukaryota, Metazoa, Arthropoda, Copepoda, Calanoida, Temoridae.